GGGGAGAGCUGGGCAGCCGGCAGUGGAGACCCCCUGCAGCUGCUUCUUGCAGAGAGGGAGAUCCAGGAGAGCUGCUUGACUGCCGACGACAUCUUUCACUUGGAUGCAGGACAGGAGAAGGUCUUGGAGUUGGCAAGACCCCAGCUGGCUCUGCUGCCCCUUGGCUACAGUGUGUCCCUGGUGCUGUGGGACCCAAACGGCCCUGGGACUCAGCUGCCACUGCAGGACAUCAUCUGGCAGGUGAUCAACACCGUCUUUCAAGAGCUGGAGGUGUCAGGGAGCAAUGUGCAACGCCUGCAGACAGUCAGCCUGGUCCAGGUAUGAUGGCAUCAGGGCUGGCCAGGAUA
Long non-coding RNA from Gallus gallus (chicken), 347 nucleotides. RefSeq lists it as uncharacterized. The transcript has 4 exons. The record is from RefSeq and is a predicted model, not a curated record. Lineage: Eukaryota; Metazoa; Chordata; Aves; Galliformes; Phasianidae.